UUUUAGUCAUCUUCAGUUGUCCUUCCUAAAUCAUCCUUUUCUUCUGUACUUUGCCCAAAGCCAAACUAUUUUUCUGUUUCCCAAGGAAGCCGCUCUCUUUAAGGGCGAUGUGCUUUCCCUUAAAAAAAAAAAAAUCCUUUAGGGAGCUCAAUUGAAACCAGACUGAGACCUCAGGAGGUCACGUGACCCUGACUCUGAUUCAGGAAGGUCGCUGUGGCUCGGGCCUCCUACUCGACCUAAGAAAAUCCCAGUGAGGAAAGUUAGCCUCACUGCCAGGCCUACUCUCAUUCUGCAGUUGACAGUGGAGACACAUAAGAAGAUUGAUUUGUCACUUAGGAAUUCAUCUCAAAGAGCCAAUGAGGUGGUCGUGAUGGAAUCGAGGCCAAAGGAACGCAAGCUGGCCAGAAUGCGGCGGCUUCCCUCACGGACACAGAAACGGUCCCUCGCCAGCUGCGGGCUCAUUGCUCCUUUCCAUGGACCGCGAGUGUAUGACAAUGGCUUGGCCUCCAGUUAUCGCGGCACCUUCUGCUUCAGAGAGGGGACACCUGGGAAGGGGGCGUUCUCCUCCUAAAAUGGCAACUGUUGAGAUUUUAGCUCUUCCUCAGCAUUCCUUGGAAUUUAAGGCAGAAUGUUAAGCAGCUCCCAGGAACUCUAAAGAAUCCGUCUCACUUCUCUCCCUGGCUUUGUCCCGGCUGGUCUAAGGGGAUGUGUCCAUCCAGGCCCGCCUCUCCCAAAUUAAAUGUGAUGGAGUGGCUGGGUGGAUGGCUGUGAUUUUCAUCUUUCUUGAGCAGUGACAGAUGAUGCCGCAACCUCGGAGCAAAUAAAGUCAUCAAGUCCCAAGCACCACUGACAUAAUCAAAAAAUCAGAGGCUGGAGAGCCACAGGCCUUCCAUUUAUUAUGGGAAAUAAUGGGAGAAGAGCGAGCAAUUAGGAUCGACUUUGGGAUGCGCUGCUGGGAGGGAGUGAAGAUUUGUAAUUCCUGCCCUCGGGCCAUAUCAAGAUUUGGAACCAGAGCCCAAUUUGAAAUAACACAAACUAAAAAAACUUUAUUAGACGAGGUGUCAUUUGGAGUCCAGUUCUUUGAACUAGCCCUAAAUUCCUGCGGGUUAUAAUCUAAUGCGCAAUCGCGGCACCCGGUUCCAGGAGGGGCCGGGUAUGGUAGGAGCAGGAUGUGUGACGGGUCCUUGAAGCCUUGCCUGGACCUCCAAAGACCUUUUAUUCUCUUGUCCUUUUAACCCUCCUGCCUCACGCGAACCACAGUGCUGAGUGCAGGGCCAAGCAGUUCAGUAAUUGAGGCUGAUUAUAACCAGAGGUGUCCACUGAACGACCCUAAAGGCAUGUCAAGUUGGGGGAUGGCGAGACGCGGAGGUGAAGGCUAAGGGUCUCAUAGCCCAGGGGAAUCCCACGUCGCCUGUCCCCUAACUCUAGAAAGUUGGGUCAGGGCCAGCUACAACUUGAAAUGUGGAGUCCAACUUAAUGGGGGAGGGGGAUGCCAAAAUAGCUAGUUAGAGUUCAGUCUCCGAGUAGUCCACUUAGGGGGCGGGGAGACGCGGAAUGUGACGUCAUAGUAGAAGGGACUGAGGGAUGGAGGGGAAAUGAUUUCGCCAACAUCCGGGAGCCAUUAAGCAGCUCGGACUGCAGCCUGCCACCAAUGAGAACGCAGCUCCCCUGUUUCUUUCAUUAGGGUCCGGCGCAUCCUAGAAAUGGAAUUUCCCCUGAUUGGUCCAGGAAGUGAGGAGAAACUGCAGAAUGGCAAGGAGUCAAAACAGAAAAUCAACACUUCAGGUGCUACUGAAUGUGCCAAUCUACCAGCACUGAGUGAGGCCAAUGUUGACUCUGUUGCUAAGCUGUGACAUGUAAACAAAGCACAGUUCAACUCUAUACACUGCAUAGCAAACUCUUGAGUCUCCUGCUGUCAACCCCAAAGUGCAAUUGCUGGCAGUGAUGCAAAGUUGUGAGGAGUUGGGAAACAAAGCCUGGCUAGACUGAUUAGAGUGACUUGGGGACACCUUCGCUCUUGUUUUUGACAGUUUUCCUUUAAGGCUACGGACACCUCUUCUAUUAAGCCUUCCUUGACAGCUCUGCCCCACCUAAGAUAGGAGAGUUAAGAGAGCAUCUGACCGCAGAACUCCUUGCUCCUUGUAAAGAUAAAAUGCUCCACGAAGGGUAAAGCAUGUCGGCUUUCCGUGGUCUGAGUCUUUUAUACCCCAAACGGCAAGGAAGCCCAAGCCCUCGUUCAAACCCAAGUCUUCUUGCCAAAUGAAAUGCCCCAUUCCUUUCAAGGGAGACCAGUCCAGCUGACAAAGAAUAAGAGUUUUUCCUACAAUUUGUUGUCUAGUCAUCUUCAGUUGUGUCUGACUCUUCUUUUGCGGUUUUCUUGGCAAAGAUACUGGUGCAGUUUGCAUUUUCCUAUAAUACUUCCCUCCCUAACAAAGAUUUUUAGGGCUUCUACUACAAGUUAAGGGGAUCUUAAAAUUCCAACCUUGGAAGGAUCCCUAGCCUUAGUGGAACCGAAAGAGCUAAAUACAAAGAAUGAAAAGAUGAAAACCUAAUAAUCCAAAGACAUCUAAAAAAGUACAGUUUCACAGUAGGUACAACUCCCGAGGGUUUUUUAUUAAGAGCUCUUAGUUUUUAUUAACCCCUAAAUAAACUCCCUUCAUCUUUUGAACCUUGUAAAUCUGAGUAGGGGAAGGAAUCAGAUGCUAAAGUCCCCAGAUGUAUAAGGAGGGCAACACAUUCCUUUGUUCCCCAAAGUUUACCUGGAAGGAGCUCCUAUGCAAAGGUUAUACUUUCUUCCAGCCUAAAUCUGCCUCUUGGUAAAUCCCAUUCCUUCUGGGAGGACUAGUAGGACUAGUCUAAUCUUUUCAUAUGACAAUACUUAUACUACCCGAAGUUAACUAUCAUAGUAAGCCCCUUGCCCACUCCAUCAUAAGGGCAGGGAGGUGGUUCAGUGGAUAGAGCACCAGGCCUAGGGAUGGGAGGUCCUGGGUUCAAAUGUGACCUCAGACAUCCUAGUUUUGUGACUCGGCAAAGCACUUAACCCCAAUUGCCUAACCUUAUGGAUCUUCUGCCUCGGAACCAAUACUUAGUAUUGAUUCUAGGACAGAAAGCAAGAAUUAAAAAAAACAAAACUCCAUAGUCGUUUCAACUAAGCCUUUCAGCAUCCUGAUUAACUUUCCUCUGAAUGGCAACCAUUUACACAUGGCUCUCUCCAUGUAAAGGUGAUCUGAAGUCUCUUUAGGCUAUAUAUAUGAAUAGUUCAGGAACCUGGCCAGGUGGAUGUGAGACAUGAUAAUCUUACUCCUGAAUUUAGCUUUCUGUGUCUUCCUUUGCUUAUCCACAUGAGAGAAUGGAAGGAGUUUGAUAUUAACCCCGGAAUCCCAGAACCCUGAUACUCUUAGCAAUUUUAUUGGGUAACGCCUGAUGAUUGAGGAUGGCCUAUCCUUACAUCAAAAUUAGGAAGCCCAGAAUGCUUACUUUAAAAAGUCUAUACCAGAGGUCCUGUCUCCUGGAAGAGGAAAUUUUAAUUAAAAAAUAUUUGUACCUGAAAGUAUUGAGAGCUCCUGCCUUAUGGGUUUUAAGCUAAUAGGAUUUAAACGUUAUUAAGAAAUCUGUUCUACCCUCAUUUUAGAGAGGAGGAAACUAAAGAGCAAAAGAGAUUGGCCUAAAGGUAUAUAGGUAAUAAGUUUUCAGAACUGAGUUCCACAGCCUGGUUUGUUGGGGUCUAAAUCUAGGGUGCUUUUUCUAUUCCCCCCACAAAAUUCCUUUCAUGUUGUUGCAUUAUAACAUCUGGGUUUUCUAUAAUUCUGUAGUGCAUCAAAUUCACUGUCAGAUGUCUUGUUUCCCAAAACAAGACUAUAAAAACAAGACUACAAUUGCCCCAGGGCACAUUGUACCCAACAUUUAAAAGCAACAAGCAUGUACUGAGCACCUACUGUGUAUCAGAUGGGGAUUCAGAGAAAAGCAUGAUACAAUCUCUGCCCAGGAGAAGUUCAUACUUUAAUAGGGGUGACAGCAAAUACUGUGUAUGAACUGAUGUGUAAGAAGAUUAAAAAGACAGGAAGCUGCAAGGUUAUGAAGAGCUUUCAAAGUAUAAAAAAGGAUUUUAUAUUUUUUUCUCUAAGCAUUGGGGAGGGACUGGCUCUCUUUAUAAAAAUCGGUUUUAUAGCUGAGUGGAGAAUGAAUUGGAAUGGGAAAGACUUGAGACAGAGAGACCAAACAGAAGGUUACUGCAACAAUCUAGGUACAAGGUAAAGACAUGUGCUAGGAUGGUGGCAGUAUCAAAACAGAGAAGAGGGCAUAUCUAAAAGGUGUUGCUAAUUUAUGGUGGCAAAAAAAAGUUGGAAAAUGAGGGGAUGCCCUUCAAUUGGGGAAUGGCUGAACAAAUUGUGGUAUAUGUUGGUGAUGGAAUACUAUUGUGCUCAAAGGAAUAAUAAAGUGGAGGAAUUCCAUGGAGACUGGAACAACCUCCAGGAAGUGAUGCAGAGCAAGAGGAGCAGAACCAGGAGAACACUGUACACAUCAAAUGUAAUGGACUUCUCUAUUAGUGGCAAUGCAGUGAUCCUGAACAACUUGGAGGGAUCUAUGCUACGAGAAAGAACACUAUCCUCAUUCAGAGGGAAAACUGUGGGAGUAGAAACUUACAUGGGUCCAGGGGAUAUGGCUGGGCAGAUAGACUCUAAAUGAACAUCCUAAUGCAAACACCAACAACAUGAAAAUAGAUUCUGAUCAAAGACACAAGUAAUAUCCAAUGAAAUUGCACAUUGGCUGUGGGAAGCAUGGGUGGAGGGGAGGGAGGGAAAUAAUGUGAUUAUUGUAACCAAGGAAUAAUGUUCUAAAUUGACUAAAUAAAUUCAAAUUUUUUUAAAAGUCAUGAAGGGAAUGGCUUUUAGAAUCAAUAAAUCAUUUUUGUCACAUUAAAAAAAAUAAAAGGUGUUACUGAGGUGAAAUUGAGAGGAUUUGAAAACAGCUUGGAUCUGAUAGUAUGAGGGAGUGAGGAGUCAAGGAGAAUAUCUAGGUUGGAAGCAUCAGUGCCUGGGAGGGAGGUGGUACCUUGACAGUAACAGGGGAAUUCAGAAGAGAGGAGGGCUUUUGGGGAGGAUAGUUAAUGAGUUCAGUUUGGGAUAUGUUGAGUUUAAGUUAUCUAUGGGACAUCCAUUUUGAGAUAGUCAAAGGACAGUUGAAGAGUUGAGACUGGAGUUAAGGAGAGGGUUAAGACUAGAUAAAUAGAUCCAUUAGCAUAGAAAUGAAGACUGAAUCCUUGGGAAUGUUGAUACAAUCAAGCAAAACUGUAUGGAGGGAAAAGAAAAGAGAGCCUAGGAAGAACACAUAGUUAAUGGGCAUGACCUGAAUUAAGAUCCAGCCAAAAAGAGAAGAAAUAGAAGAAACAGCACCAAUGGGAAUCUAGAAAGAAGAGACCAUCAGGGAGAAAAAAGUGAUGAGCAGUGUCAAAGGCUGUAGAGAAGUCAAAAAAGUUGAGAAUUGAGAAAAGACCAUUAGCCUUGGCAGUUAAGAGAUCAUUUUACUUUGAGGAGAACAGUUUCAGUUGAAAAGGUUGGAAACCAGACUACAGAGUAUACAGAGUUAAGAAAGAAGAAAAACAGCAGAAGCAUUGGUUCUCAAGUUUAGCCAUGUGGCAGACCCUUUCACCCUGACAAGAACAAAGACUUAGCAUUCAUAUAGCCCACCAUAUUCAGCUUAAUCCAGACUGAACUUCAUAAUGAGUCUGUCCCAAGGCCAUUUUCAUGCCAGUCAUUCGGACAAUACUAUUCCUUUUUCUCUCUUCAUAUUUCCAUAUCCUGUUCUGGAAAGGGUAUAUAUUGUGUCAUUUUGUCAACUUUCCUCUGGUUCUGCUCACAAAAGUCUUUCUCCCUGGCCACUAUUUCCCUGUUGUCAGUCCUUAUUGGAACAUAAGCUUUUUGUCUUACUUUUUUGAGGGCCUAGCUUAGUGUUUGAUACCUACUAUGUAGUUAAUAAAUGCAACUGACAAAUUACUCCUUCUAAAUGCUAAAUAUUUAGUUAAAAAGGUUGUCCCUUUGUCAUGGGUCAGGGUGCAGAGCACAAUAUGUUGGCACAGUAGAAUUAAAAACUGAAACUUUUCCGACAAUCUUCCCAAACCAAUAUUUUAAAAGUGCCUCAAAAUGACAGAAGUCAAAAGCCAACAGCAAGACAAAGUGAGGGGGCUCUCUUGCUAAACACAACUUGAAAGACAGGCAGAGAGAAUUGAUUUUUCAUGGGAUAAAGGGGAACCAGAAAUAAACACCACACAGAGGAGUGCUGGCUGACUACCCCCACCCCACCUACUGCACCAGGUUUCAGGACUGGGCAUAGGCUAAUUUCAGGAUCCCAGGAUGCAGGAUACACCAACAAAAGAGCGCCUCAGAUGCACCCUUUGAAGUCUCAGGCCCUGGCACUAGCCUGCAGUGGGGCCUGGAAGUCCAUAGCACUGGGCCCUUUCAAGCCUGCAGUGGUGUGAUGAAGACCUAGCCCCAAGGCAAAAUAGCUCACAGUGCUGCAAGUCAGCAGCAGAGGAGGUAGAAUCAUCAGCUUUCAGAAUUCCAAGGCCACAGAGAAAAAAAAAAACCUGGGAAAAUGAGCAAACAGCAAAAGAAACACUUAACCAUUGAAAAUUUCUAUGGGACAAACACCAAAGUACAGAACCAGCAGAAGAUGGUGAGAUCCAAGCAAACACAUGCAAAACUUCAAAGAAUGACAGGAAUUGGUCUCAAGCUCUGGAAGAGCUCAAAAAGGAAUUUAAAAAAUCAAAUAAGACAGGUCAAAGAAAAAUGGGGGAAAUAAAUGAAAGUAAUGCAAAAAUAAAAGUUUAAAAAGUAAAAUUGGUCAACUGGAAAAGGGGGCACAAAAAUCCAAUGAAGAAAAGAGUGUUGUCAAAAGUAGAAUGGACCAAAUGGAAAGGAGGAUCAAAAGGUCAUGGAAGAAAUUCAGUCUUUAAAAAUUAGAAUUGGGCAAAUGGAAGUUAAUGACUUCACAAGGCAUUAAGAAAGAAAAUAAAAAGAAUGAAUAAAUAGAAGAAAAUAUGAAAUAUCCCAUUAAAAAUGACUUACCUGGAAAAUAGGUCCAGGAAUGAUGAGUUGAGAAUGAUUAGACAUAUUAGAAGGAAUUACCCCAAAAAACUGCCCUGAUAUUUUUGAACAAAGGGGUAAAAUAGAAAUUGAAAGAAUCUUCAGGUCACCUCCUGCAAUAAAUCCCCAAAUGUCAAUUCCCAGGAAUAUUAUAACCAAAUUCAAGAGCUCCUAGCCCAAUGAGAAAAUAUAGCAAACAACUAGAAAGAGAGAAUUCAAAUAUCAUGGAGCCCCAGACAGGAUUACACAGGAUCUAGCAGCUUCCAUAUUGAAGUAAUAUGAUAUUCUGGAAGGCAAAGGGAACUGGGUUUACAAUCAAAAAUCACCUACCCAUCAAAGCUGACUAUGCUUUUAGGGGAAAGUAUGGUCAUUUAAUAAAAUAGAAGAUUCCCAAGCAUUUCUGAAGACCAGACUUAAACAGAAAAUUUGUCCAAAUAUAAAAUUCAAGCGAAGCAUAAAAAGGUAAAUAAGAGAGAAAAUUUAAGGGUUUCAAUAAGGUCAAAUUGUUUAUAUUUUUAUGUGGAAGGAUGAUAGCUGUAGCUCUUAAAAAUUAUCAUCAGGCAGCUGGGUAGCUCAGUGGACUGAGAGCCAGUCCUAGAGACAGGAGGUCUGGCCUCAGACACUUCCUAGCUAUGUGACCCUGGUCAAGUCACUUGACCUCCAUUGCCUAGCCCUCACCACUCUUAUGCCUUGGAGCCAGUACACAGUAUUGACUCCAAGAUGGAAGGUGAGGGUUUAAAAAAAAUUAUCAUCAUAGUAGUUAGAAGAAGUAAUACAGAGAGUGUGGCAGUAAGCUAUUUAGCAUGAUUUGUUAAAAAACAAACUAGGAGUAUAAAAGAGGAUUGUACUAAAAAAAUGGGAAGAGGGAAGUAAAAUGGGGUAAAUUAUAUCACAU
Long non-coding RNA from Monodelphis domestica (gray short-tailed opossum), 7977 nucleotides. RefSeq lists it as uncharacterized. Lineage: Eukaryota; Metazoa; Chordata; Mammalia; Didelphimorphia; Didelphidae. The record is from RefSeq and is a predicted model, not a curated record.